UUUUUAUUUUUUUGUUUUUUGUUUUGAAUAAUAAUUCUAUUUUCAUGUGAAGUUUGAUUAUUAAUUGAGAAAGGCAAUUUUAAAAGUAAUUUUUCUUGUCAUCAAAGAUAGGGCAAUAGGUGCUUAAACAGAUUAUUAAAAUUAUACACAAAUUAUGAAGUCGCUUUCAGUGCCCCCUGCCCAGAGGAGACCAUGAAUGCAGGCCUCCAUUAUUAGAAAUUGUACAUUUGAGUUUCCCACAUUUCCUAAGUGCAAUGUGUGAGCCUCAUCCUGCAAGAACCACCUUGGUGAUCAUUUAGUAUCUCCUCUGCUAGGUAAGUAUCACUUUCAGUUUCUUUCUUUCUUUUUUUUCUUUUUAAGAUUUUAUUUAUUUAUUUGAGAGAAAGAGAGAGAGGGAGAAGCGUGCUCCUUGCUGAGCAGGGAACCCGACGACAUGGGACUCGAUCCCAGGAACCUGGAAUCAUGCAUGACCUGAGUCGAAGGCAGAUGCUUAACUCGCUGAGCCCCCCAGACACCCCUCACUUUCAGUUUCUUGUACAACUUCAUAAGAUACAAGGGUGCCUCGUGGCUCAGGUCAUGAUCCCAGCAUCCUGGGAUGGAGUCCCACAUAGGGUCCCUGCUCAGCUGGGAGUCUGCUUCUCCUUUGGUCCCUCACCCUGCUGUGCCCUCUCUCUUGUUCUCAAAUAAAUAAAUAAAAUCUUUUUUCUUUUUAAGAUUUUAUUUGUUUAUUCAUAAGAGAAAGAGAGAGAGAGGCAGAGACACAGGCAGAGGGAGAAGCAGGCUCCAUGCAGGGAGCCCGACGUGGGACUCGAUCCCGAAUCACCAGGAUCAGGCCCUGGGCGGAAGGCGGCGCUAAACCGCUGAGCCACCCCGGCUGCCCCAAUAAAUAAAAUCUUAAAAGAAAAAAACAACCUCACAAGAUACAGAAAAUGUGAGAGGAAAUAUUAAAAUGUCACUGUAUAAACUUACUAUAAAAUUAAUUCAGGCAUAUGUGAAAUUGAUUUUUCAAAGACUUAAAUCUUUUGACAAAUUGUUACAUAAGAAUCAUCAACUCGGGGAUCCCUGGGUGGCGCAGCGGUUUGGCGCCUGCCUUUGGCCCAGGGCGCGAUCCUGGAGACCCGGGAUCGAAUCCCACGUCAGGGUCCUGGUGCAUGGAGCCUGCUUCUCCGUCUGCCUAUGUCUCUGCCUCCCUCUCUCUCUGUGUGUGUGACUAUCAUAAAUAAAUAAAAUAAAAAAUCAUCAGCUCUAAAUGUACUAAUUAUAACAAAAUAUAUUUCUUUGCAACUUUAAGUUUACGAUGUUACUCCUGUAACCCCUAUUUCAUUUGAAAAGGAAUCAAAUAUUUUGAAAGGAAAAAAAUUAUUUUAGUACUCUGACAGAACUUUUUCUUUUUUCUUUAUUGCUGUCUGUGAGUAGGCUUCACAUCCAGUGUGGAGUUUAACUCAGGGGUUGAACUGAGGAUCCUGAGAUUAAGACCUGAGCUGAGAUAAAGAGUUGGAUGUUUUGCUGACUGAGCCACUCAGGGGCCCCUUUUUUCUGCUUUUUGAAUAAGAGGACCCAAAAAUUAUGUAGGGGCUCUGAUUCUGAAAACUAGUAUUUCUUUGAGAGGAUUUUCAUAUUUCCCCAAAUUAUUCUGACUCUGUUAAAACACUUUCAGGCUGAUUUCUGUCAAGUCCAAGAAAUGGUCCUCGUAUCAUCAUGUUUUAAAAACCCACAUCGGGAUCCCUGGGUGGCGC
RNAcentral lists this long non-coding RNA (1736 nucleotides) under Canis lupus familiaris (dog). Its description in RNAcentral is "lncRNA (ENSCAFG00000051742.1)". The record is from RNAcentral. Lineage: Eukaryota; Metazoa; Chordata; Mammalia; Carnivora; Canidae.